CAAGGAAUAUUGCACAAUGGGGGAAACCCUGAUGCAGCAACGCCGCGUGGGCGACGAAGGCCUUCGGGUUGUAAAGCCCUUUUCUUAGGGAAGAGCAAGGACGGUACCUGAGGAAUAAGUCUCGGCUAACUACGUGCCAGCAGCCGCGGUAAAACGUAGGAGACGAGCGUUAUCCGGAUUUACUGGGCGUAAAGGGCAAGUAGGCGGUUAUCAAAGUUGGACGUGACAAAUCUCGGCUCAACUGAGAAGGGUCGUCCAAAACUAGGUGACUAGAGGACAGGAGAGGGGAGCGGAAUUCCUAGUGUAGCGGUGGAAUGCUUAGAGAUUAGGAAGAACACCAGUGGCGAAGGCGGCUCUCUGGCCUGCACCUGACGCUGAGAGGCGAAAGCUAGGGGAGCAAACGGG
RNAcentral lists this ribosomal RNA (405 nucleotides) under uncultured bacterium. Its description in RNAcentral is "bacterial SSU rRNA". It matches the Rfam family "Bacterial small subunit ribosomal RNA", at positions 355 to 776 of the family's 1533-position model. The record is from RNAcentral.